RNA transcript from Fragaria vesca subsp. vesca, 1750 nucleotides. It is a transcript of the gene named tricyclene synthase EBOS, chloroplastic-like, with no coding region annotated. NCBI's taxonomy places the organism in Eukaryota, Viridiplantae, Streptophyta, Magnoliopsida, Rosales, Rosaceae. The record is from RefSeq and is a predicted model, not a curated record. The transcript is spliced from 7 exons.
AUGUCUACCCCAAUCUUGGCCAGCAACGGUAGCACUGCUACUGAAACUUCAUAUCUGGAUGUUCAAAGACGGACAGCAGAUUACAAGCCCAGCAUCUGGAGUUACGAGUUUCUUCAAUCGUUACAGGUUGAAGAUCGUAAAUUCGAAGAACUAUACGAAGAUGAUAGGUGGAAGUCGAUGGAGGAGUGUGUGAAACAUAUGCUUGGCUAUGAUAAUGAUGCGCAGUCAGUAGAGACUAAACUUGAAUUGAUUGAUGACAUCCAACGAUUGGGUUUGGGACACCGGAUUCCAGGCCAGUAUAAUAGGAACCCUUCAUAGAAUUAUGAAGAAUCUUGACAGUACAGACGAGGAUACCCCAAGUCUCCACCUCACUGCUCUCAGCUUCAGACUCCUUCGACAGCAUGGUUUUCAAGUCUCCCAAGAUGUCUUCAAGAAUUUCACGGACUGCGACGGCAGCUUCAAGGAUUGCCUUUGCAAAGAUGUCAAAGGAAUGCUGAGUCUGUACGAAGCUUCAUUCCUUGGUUUUGAAGGAGAAACCCUCUUGGAUGAGGCCCUUGCAUUCACCAGCAUGCACCUAAAAAACCUCAGCUGCAGGUUACUUGAUACUCACGGCAGAAAUGUAUUAGAGCAAGUGAGUCAUGCAUUGGAGAUGCCAUUGCACCACAGAAUGCAAAGAUUAGAAGCUAGAUGGUAUAUUGAGGUAUAUAAUAAAAGGCAAGAUGCAAAUCAGAUGCUACUUGAAUUUGCCAAGCUAGAUUACGAUGUGGUGCAACAGACAUACCAAAGUGAUCUUAAAGACUUAUCAAGAUGGUGGAAGGAUAUGGGGUUAGCAAAGAAGUUGUCCUUCAGCAGAGACAGAUUGAUGGAGUGCUUCUUUUGGUCAGUUGGUAUAGUGUCUGAACCUCAAUUCAGCAAUCUCAGAAAAGGGAUAACUAAAGUCAGUGUUCUAAUAUGCACAAUUGAUGAUGUGUAUGAUGUUUAUGGUACUCUGGAUGAACUAAAGUUAUUCACAUCUGUUGUUGAAAGAUGGGAUGUGAAUGCUGUGGAAAUUCUACAAGACUACCAGCUGAAGCUCUCUUUCCUUGCUCUCUUCAACACUGUGAAUGAAAUGGCAUAUGAAACUUUGAAAGACCAAGGAGUGGACGUCCUUCCUUACUUGACAAAAGCUUGGACUGAUAUGUGCAAAGCUUUCUUAACGGAGGCAGAGUGGCGUUACAACAAUUACACACCCACAUUUGAAGAAUAUAUUGCCAAUGCAUGGAUAUCAGUGUCCGGGGUGCUCCUAUUAGUGCAUACAUAUUUUCUACUGAAUCAAAAUAUCUCAGAUGAAGCACUUGAAUGCUUAGUGAAUCACCAUGAUCUCUUGCGCUGGCCGUCUCUUAUUUUUCGGCUCUCAAACGAUUUGGCUACUUCCGAGGCAGAAAUAGAGAGAGGUGAAACUGCAACUUCAAUAUCCUGCAUCAAUCGUGGAAGUAGUGAUGUUUGUGAUCAGGCAUCUGCUCGCCAAUUCAUUAGGAAUUUGAUUGAGAAGAGUUGGAAGAAGAUGAACAAAGAUGGACUACUAAAUGGUGCCAGUGGUGCUUCUUCUCCAUUUACAAAGGAAUUUGUAGCAGCAGCAACAAACCUUGCUCGGAUUGCCCAAUGCAUAUACCAAUAUGGAGACGGGAUCAGUGCUCCGGACAAAAUAGCCAAGAACCGGAUCCUAGCAGUGCUUCUACAACCAGUACUUAAAGGGAAUAGAGCUCUGUAG